UUAUUGGUAUAUAUCCGUCCAACUUAGCGGGAACGCAAAAGGAGUGAAAGUUAAUCUACGGAUUAACGAUUUUGAUGAAAGUACUGGCUAGAAAAGCAGAUAUACGCGUGGUUAUAGCCGCCCGUACCGCAAACCAACACAGGUGCUCGAGUCGAGUAGACUCAGGCUUACGAGAGACCCUUCGCUAAGGAACUCGGCAAAACAGCGACCGUAACUUCGGGAUAAGGUCUGCCUCCGCAUCAUUCGAUGCGAGUCGUGUUUCAAGCAAUUAGGUUAAGAUUAAUGGUAUAUAUGAGUAUCUUAAACUUCUUUACCGAGAUAGACAAGUCAAAUGGCUUAGCUUGGAACGCGGCAACCUCGUGUCAAACGAUGCGGAGGCCGCAGCAAAAGAGCCCACGGAACUGUUUACCAAAAACACAGGUCUCUGCUAACACGAAAGUGGAUGUAUAGGGGCUGACUCCUGCCCAGUGCUGGAAGGUUAAGGGGAGUGCUUUACGGUGCGAACUGAAGCCCCAGUGAACGGCGGCGGUAACUAUAACCGUCCUAAGGUAGCGAAAUUCCUUGUCAGGUAAGUUCUGACCCGCACGAAUGGAGUAAUCAUGUGGGCACUGUCUCGGCGAAGGACUCGGUGAAAGUGCAUUGGCGGUAAAGAUGCCGUCUGUCCAUGCCAGGACGAGAAGACCCCAUGGAGCUUUACUACAGCUUUACAUUGAUCCAGGUUUCAGCAUGUGUAGCAUAGUUGGGAGACUUUGAAACAGAUACGCUAGUAUUUGCGGAGUCGCAAUGUGAAAUACCAACCUUGCUGUGAUCUUGAUCUCACUUGUGCCGUUAUCCGGUACAAGGACCGUGUAUGGUGGGUAGUUUAACUGGGGCGGUUGCCUCCUAAAGAGUAGCGGAGGCGUUCAAAGGUUGGCUAACUUCGGAUGGAAAUCGAAGUGAUAGUGUAUGCGCAUAAGCCAGCUUGACUGUGAGGAGUACAUUCCAAUCAGAGACGAAAGUCGGAGCAAGUGAUCCGCUGUACGUACAUUUGUACAUGAAUGUGGGAUCGACAGCGCAAACGGAUAAAAGUUACCCUGGGGAUAACAGGCUUAUAGCGCCCAAUAGUUCACAUAGACGGCGCUGUUUGGCACCUCGAUGUCGGCUCAUCACAUCCUGGAGGGGGAGCACCUUCCAAGGGUUCGGCUGUUCGCCGAUUAAAGUGGUACGCGAGCUGGGUUCAGAACGUCGUGAGACAGUUCGGUUUAUAUCCGGUAUGGACGAUAGGAAACUUGAGAGGAUCUACCCCUAGUACGAGAGGACCGGGGCGGACGCACCUCUGGUGUAUCGAUUGUGGCCACCUGCUGCAUUGUCGAGUAGCUAUGUGCGGACUAGAUAAGCGCUGAAAGCAUAUUAAGCGCGAAACUAACCUCAAGAUAAGGUUUCCCUAUGAGGACACAGAAAGACUAUCUGUUUGAUAGGCGCAAGGUGGAAGUACAGUAAUGUAUGGAGCUAAAGCGUACUAAUAGUCCCAUUGCCUUUUUAU
RNAcentral lists this ribosomal RNA (1522 nucleotides) under human gut metagenome. RNAcentral's name for it is "bacterial LSU rRNA". It matches the Rfam family "Bacterial large subunit ribosomal RNA", at positions 1495 to 2925 of the family's 2925-position model. The record is from RNAcentral.